UUUUUCGGAAANANCCGCCGAACGGGUGAAUUAACGCGUGGGUAAACCUGCCCCUGUACNCCCCGGAUUAACUUCCCGAAAAGGUAUACUAAUACGGGAUAAACAUNCGAAAAGUCGCAUGGCUUUUGUAUNCAAAGCUCCGGCGGUACAGGAUGGACCCGCGUCUGAUUAGCUAGUUGGUAAGGUAAUGGCUUACCAAGGCAACGAUCAGUAGCCGACCUGAGAGGGUGAUCGGCCACACUGGAACUGAGACACGGUCCAGACUCCUACGGGAGGCAGCAGUGGGGAAUAUUGCACAAUGGGCGAAAGCCUGAUGCAGCAACGCCGCGUGAGCGAUGAAGGCCUUCGGGUCGUAAAGCUCUGUCCUCAAGGAAGAUAAUGACGGUACUUGAGGAGGAAGCCCCGGCUAACUACGUGCCAGCAGCCGCGGUAAUACGUAGGGGGCUAGCGUUAUCCGGAAUUACUGGGCGUAAAGGGUGCGUAGGUGGUUUUUUAAGUCAGAAGUGAAAGGCUACGGCUCAACCGUAGUAAGCUUUUGAAACUAGAGAACUUGAGUGCAGGAGAGGAGAGUAGAAUUCCUAGUGUAGCGGUGAAAUGCGUAGAUAUUAGGAGGAAUACCAGUAGCGAAGGCGGCUCUCUGGACUGUAACUGACACUGAGGCACGAAAGCGUGGGGAGCAAACAGGAUUAGAUACCCUGGUAGUCCACGCCGUAAACGAUGAGUACUAGGUGUCGGGGGUUACCCCCCUCGGUGCCGCAGCUAACGCAUUAAGUACUNCCGCCUGGGAAGUACGCUCGCAANGAGUGAAACUCAAAAGGAAUUGGACGGGGACCCGCACAAGUAGCGGAGCAUGUGGUUUAAUUCGAAGCAACGCGAAGAACCUUACCUAAGCUUGACAUCCCACUGACCUCUCCCUAAUCGGAGAUUUCCCUUCGGGGACAGUGGUGACAGGUGGUGCAUGGUUGUCGUCAGCUCGUGUCGUGAGAUGUUGGGUUAAGUCCCGCAACGAGCGCAACCCUUGCCUUUAGUUGCCAGCAUUAAGUUGGGCACUCUAGAGGGACUGCCGAGGAUAACUCGGAGGAAGGUGGGGAUGACGUCAAAUCAUCAUGCCCCUUAUGCUUAGGGCUACACACGUGCUACAAUGGGUGGUACAGAGGGUUGCCAAGCCGCGAGGUGGAGCUAAUCCCUUAAAGCCAUUCUCAGUUCGGAUUGUAGGCUGAAACUCGCCUACAUGAAGCUGGAGUUACUAGUAAUCGCAGAUCAGAAUGCUGCGGUGAAUGNGUUCCCGGGUCUUGUACACACCGCCCGUCACACCAUGGAAGUUGGGGGCGCCCGAAGCCGGUAGCUACCUUU
RNAcentral lists this ribosomal RNA (1353 nucleotides) under Clostridium sp. NB13. RNAcentral's name for it is "bacterial SSU rRNA". It matches the Rfam family "Bacterial small subunit ribosomal RNA", at positions 81 to 1442 of the family's 1533-position model. The record is from RNAcentral. Lineage: Bacteria; Bacillati; Bacillota; Clostridia; Eubacteriales; Clostridiaceae.